GAUUUAAAUUAAAUUUUUACCGCAGUACUGCUUUCGAACGGUAGGACGUAAUAGUAAAGUUUACUUCACUCACGGGAAAGUAUGAUUUAUAAUUUCCGAGGUAUAACGUUGUUAGACGUACUGCAGCUAACUGUAUGUAAUUUAAUUGUAAACAACUACUAGACAACGUCACGCUAAGAUUAAAAUUUGUGAUACACCAAAACGUAACGUGAGUGCUUUGCUUCCUUAUUACCGAAUGUACUAGAAAUCCAGAGAGACAUCGGGCCGUCAUCUAGGCGCCAUCAGAUCGUUAAAAUAUUAACCAGCGAUAAGAAAUGGAGCCGGAUGUGAUCCGUUCAGCAAUUCUCGAGAAGUUCUGUGAAUUUUCUGGAAACUUUUGGUCUGCUACAUAAACAAAUUGAAUUGUGUUCAAAAACAGUUCCAACAUCGAUGUAGAAGUAAGCCAAUUAGUUUCAAAGUGAGCAGGUUAUUUCAUCGAUAAGAAAUAACGAAGAUGUGAAUCGUGACUUGUUCGAUGAUGGACGUUAAACGUUGCUGGUUUCUUGGUGAAUUUGCCAUAUUUGAGCAUAUUAUUCCAAGAGAGUUCGGCUUGCCAGUCGUACAGUUCCUACAGAAGAAAGUUAGUAUUUUAUUCCCUCAUUUAAAGUAAAAUGCUUAAGUCGAGUUAAGCACAAUCGUGUUUUAGCUUUACGACGAAGUUUAGUCGAGUGUUAUGUUUAUCGAGCGUGUAUCGGAUAAGGAAGCAUUUCUUUAAGGUUAUUCCGGUACUCGCUAAAGGGAGUUUUUUCCACCAUAAAAGAACCAAUUUUACAUCUCUAAUUACAACGAACCCAGUGUCUAAAUAGAAAUUUAAGUGUAGUUGACUUUUGUUUGUGGAUCAUUUAAUGAAUAUCGUAGUUACGACCAGAUAUUUUGGAUUACUAAUACAUAACGUUUCAAUUGAUCGCUCAAUGUGAGGUAUAAUAUGUACCCUGGUCCUGAAUCCCUAUUUUAAUUUCAGCCUUAUUGAUUGAUUUCAUCUAAUAAAUUUGUUGUGUUUAAUUGAUCCCAAAU
Photinus pyralis (common eastern firefly) is the source of this 1053-nucleotide long non-coding RNA. RefSeq lists it as uncharacterized. The record is from RefSeq and is a predicted model, not a curated record. Lineage: Eukaryota; Metazoa; Arthropoda; Insecta; Coleoptera; Lampyridae. The transcript is spliced from 3 exons.